RNAcentral lists this ribosomal RNA (205 nucleotides) under uncultured Aerococcus sp. Its description in RNAcentral is "partial 16S ribosomal RNA". It matches the Rfam family "Bacterial small subunit ribosomal RNA", at positions 135 to 334 of the family's 1533-position model. The record is from RNAcentral. Lineage: Bacteria; Bacillati; Bacillota; Bacilli; Lactobacillales; Aerococcaceae.
AGCGGGGGAUAACAUUCGGAAACGGGUGCUAAUACCGCAUAAUAUCUUCUUCCGCAUGGAAGAAGAUUGAAAGACGGCUCUGCUGUCACUUAUAGAUGACCUUGCGGUGCAUUAGUUAGUUGGUGGGGUAAUGGCCUACCAAGACGAUGAUGCAUAGCCGACCUGAGAGGGUGAUCGGCCACAUUGGGACUGAGACACGGCCCAA